Molecule: unclassified non-coding RNA, 143 nt
Filed under: uncultured Helotiales
Lineage: Eukaryota; Fungi; Ascomycota; Leotiomycetes; Helotiales
Description: sequence contains ITS2
Source: RNAcentral
AACCACUCACGCCUAGCGUGGUAUUGGGGCACGCGGUCUUGCGGCCCUCAAAAUUAGUGGCGGCGCCGGUGGGCUCUAAGCGUAGUACAUACUCCCGCUAUUGAGUUCCCCCGGUGGCUCGCCAGAACCCCCAAUUUUUUACA